This is a long non-coding RNA of Lolium perenne, 1386 nucleotides long. RefSeq lists it as uncharacterized. The record is from RefSeq and is a predicted model, not a curated record. Lineage: Eukaryota; Viridiplantae; Streptophyta; Magnoliopsida; Poales; Poaceae.
CAGGUCGCUCUGCAGGUCGCCAUUCUCCACCAUAGGCCCUUCCUCCAUGGCGUUGGCGACCGGCGGUUGGAGCUCUGGCUCCACCCUAAGAAGAUUGAGAGCAUGGAGCUCUACAGGUCGUUGUUCCCCACCAUGGGCGCCUCCUCCACUGCAUCAAGCUUGCCUUGUGUCGCCCGGGCUAUCCCCAUUUUUUGUUGUAUAAGCUAAUAAUUGCAAUCUUGCCUGUUAACCCAACAGCUAUUGAAUAUUAUGAGCUAAGGAUAUUUCAUCCCAUCCCUAGAAUCCUUGGAACCAAACAAAACAAGGGAUCAACUAAUUGGGACCAUCCCCAUCCACAUAAUCCAUCUCAUCCCGUCCCAUACACGUUUGUCCACCAACCAAACGCAUAACGCCAUGGUGGGCAGGGAUGCGGCCGUGUUCACAUGUGCAUGCUGAAAAGUGGGGUCCUUCUCUGUACCUCCUUUCUUCUUUUUUUAUUUGUCUAGUUUCUUGUAGUUAUCUUUGUUCCUAGAGAAAAGUUGCCAGCUCUGCCAAGAUUCCCCCAAUUGAAUCAAGGAAUUAGGUAGAAGAUGGACGUGGAUGGAAGAUGAAGAAAGUAGAUUGGAUCCAAAGAAAUGGAGGUGGAGAGUACGAACUUAAGGCUGGAGAGGCUGAGGCUGCUGGCUUCGUCAGAGAUUGGCAUGGGUUAACCAGGAUUUACUGAGAGCAGCGAGGCAGAUGCAUGCCAACAUGCUGAAGCCUCACCCUCUCCUAUCCAUCAAGCCUCGCUGGGUGAGACUGAGAUAUGAAUGCUGCUUUUUACAAUGGAUUUGGCUGAUUUGAUUAGCAGUAACGGGACCCUUGCUUGUUUGAUUCUACCAUUUACAGUUAUUUCUUUGUCUGAUUUGAUUAGCAGUACGCAUUGGAUUUUACAGUUGGUUUGAUUCUACCAUUUCUUUCUGGUAGCCAUUUGUAGUAGCCAUUUGUAUUGUUCUUUCGGGUAUCGAUCCAAGAUGGACAUGGAUGAGCGGGGCCGGGGCUUUGCUGAAAGUGGCGAGGUGGAGGCCAACAAUGGCAAUCGCCAGCAGUAUCUAGCCGGUCGGUUGUCCACGCGCGCCUCGUUGACUUCGGCCCGGCCAUCAAAGAACCAGCUCGACCAUGCCUCGCAAUGGAUAAUCUCGUCAACGAAUCAGCUACCACGAAGCUGCUGUCUCCCUCCAAUACUUUGGUUCCCUCAUCUUGCCCACCUUUUUCGUUUCUCUCUAGCUCCUCUAUUGGUAUGUACUGUAUUGUAGAUCCAAAUCUGGUUUGUGGUCUAUAUCUCCACGACCCCACGCCGUGUAUAUUUGUGAGGUUGGAUGGGAAUGAGAUUUCAGACCAUACUUCAAUCUUAAAAUCUAUGAUCCA